UACGGAGGAUGCGAGCGUUAUCCGGAUUUAUUGGGUUUAAAGGGUGCGUAGGCGGGCUGUUAAGUCAGCGGUAAAAGCCCGGGGCUCAACCUCGGCGAGCCGUUGAAACUGGCUGUCUUGAGAUGUCGAGAGGUAUGCGGAAUGCGCAGUGUAGCGGUGAAAUGCUUAGAUAUUGCGCAGAACUCCGAUUGCGAAGGCAGCAUACCGGCGGCGAUCUGACGCUGAGGCACGAAAGCGUGGGUAUCGAACAGG
RNAcentral lists this ribosomal RNA (252 nucleotides) under uncultured bacterium. RNAcentral's name for it is "partial 16S ribosomal RNA". It matches the Rfam family "Bacterial small subunit ribosomal RNA", at positions 524 to 776 of the family's 1533-position model. The record is from RNAcentral.